Molecule: transfer RNA, 76 nt
Filed under: Candidatus Krumholzibacteriia bacterium
Lineage: Bacteria; Candidatus Krumholzibacteriota; Candidatus Krumholzibacteriia
Description: tRNA-Val
Rfam family: tRNA
About the family: Transfer RNA (tRNA) molecules are approximately 80 nucleotides in length.
Source: RNAcentral
GGGGGCUUAACUCAGAGGCUAGAGUACUAUCUUCACACGGUAGGAGUCACUGGUUCAAAUCCAGUAGCCCCCACCA